UACGGAGGGUGCAAGCGUUGUUCGGAAUCAUUGGGCGUAAAGCGCGUGUAGGUGGUCUGGCAAGUCCCAUGUGAAAUCCCUUGGCUUAACUGAGGAAGUGCAUGGGAUACUACCAGGCUAGAGUACGGUAGAGGGAAGUGGAAUUCCUAGUGUAGAGGUGAAAUUCGUAGAUAUUAGGAGGAACACCUGUGGCGAAAGCGGCUUCCUGGGCCGACACUGACACUGAGACGCGAAAGCGUGGGUAG
This 245-nucleotide ribosomal RNA is filed under the name uncultured bacterium. Its description in RNAcentral is "partial 16S ribosomal RNA". It matches the Rfam family "Bacterial small subunit ribosomal RNA", at positions 524 to 768 of the family's 1533-position model. The record is from RNAcentral.